GGGGCCAUAGCUCAGCUGGGAGAGCGCUACCGUGGCACGGUAGAGGUCGACGGUUCGAUCCCGUCUGGCUCCACCA
Molecule: transfer RNA, 76 nt
Filed under: Gammaproteobacteria bacterium
Lineage: Bacteria; Pseudomonadati; Pseudomonadota; Gammaproteobacteria
Description: tRNA-Ala
Rfam family: tRNA
About the family: Transfer RNA (tRNA) molecules are approximately 80 nucleotides in length. Their secondary structure includes four short double-helical elements and three loops (D, anti-codon, and T loops).
Source: RNAcentral